Molecule: long non-coding RNA, 285 nt
Filed under: Coffea arabica (coffee)
Lineage: Eukaryota; Viridiplantae; Streptophyta; Magnoliopsida; Gentianales; Rubiaceae
Description: long non-coding RNA (CARA_LNC005604)
Source: RNAcentral
GCAUAGUGUAAUUUGUAAACCUGCAAUUACGGUUCUGGUUUGUUAUUUGGCAUAUUUGACUUAGUUGUGCUGGAAUUUGGACUGAGUGACCUUCUGCAAUAUUGUAGCCCUAUCUCUUAGCUUCGAAACGGUGUAUCUUUCACCUUCAUCCGACAAUCGUAGCGCCUUUGGUACCAUUACCGUAAAAUGACGUCAAAACUGUUUUUCUGGUUUUGAGCUUAACUUUCAUUUCCAAACUUUUCCCUAGCUUGACUUGUACUAGUACUACUUGGAGCUUGCUGAAUG